Molecule: long non-coding RNA, 372 nt
Filed under: Populus tremula
Lineage: Eukaryota; Viridiplantae; Streptophyta; Magnoliopsida; Malpighiales; Salicaceae
Description: long non-coding RNA (PTRE_LNC001630)
Source: RNAcentral
UGCAAAGGAAGCAAAUCCAAAGAUUAAGCAACUAGAUAGGGUUCUCCCUUCUCUAACAUUUUAUAUAUUGCAUACCAAGCACUUUAAGGAUGUCCCUUAUAGGUCAAGAUUCCUGGUGAAUCAGAGAUAGAUUUUAUCAAGGCAUGUUACAGGAACUUGUAAGAGAGAAACAUGUUCAGGCUGCAGUUCGUUUUGGCUCGAAUCCUCUAGUGAUUAUGCCUUCCAAUUAUGUUAGGACAUCACAAAAUGGCUUAAAAGCCUUGCAAACUACGUCAUCAGGUUUAUGCGUAGAUAAAUACGAGAAUAGUUUCUACAUUGCUUACCUUCAAGGAACCAGCAGAUACAUUUGCCUCAGCAUCAAUGAAGGUCUGC